This 29-nucleotide non-coding RNA is filed under the name Homo sapiens (human). The record is from RNAcentral. Lineage: Eukaryota; Metazoa; Chordata; Mammalia; Primates; Hominidae.
UGGUCCAAUGCAUUAGUUUGCUUUAACAA